GGAAGGAGCUAUUGGGGCCUCUAAGUUCCAAAAAGCACAAGGAGAGGCUGACCAUGGACACGGCAAGGACUAUUCCUAGCUCCUGGGUGCAAGAGGCUCUGGAAGCACCCUGCCCUCUGGUCCAUCUCGGAGAGGUAGCUUCUGCUGCUACCCUUAUGUCACCGAUGAAGAAACUGAUGCUCAGAGAGAUUCAAGAUUUGACCGGGUCCACUCAGACAACAAGGGGCCGAGCAAGACAACCUCAGUCCUUUUGAAUCCUAAUCUCCAACUCCUUCGACUGCAGCAAAAUCCCUUCCAGGGUUCCAUUUGUUCCCCGCCGAGUUUUUCUGGGCCCAAGAUUUAGUCCUGGCCUGAUAUUUGCUCUGGGAAUAAUCCAGACUCUGAGGCUGAUCCCAGGCAGAGGACUUAACUGAGGCCUUGGAAUGCUGAUGAAGACCACGAGAG
Molecule: long non-coding RNA, 444 nt
Organism: Bos taurus (domestic cattle)
Lineage: Eukaryota; Metazoa; Chordata; Mammalia; Artiodactyla; Bovidae
Source: Ensembl